UUGGAUUAUAUGACCGAACUAUAUGUCCGAUUGACUUUGCUUAACAAGAUGGCAACCUGUAGUGAGUUGGCAUUUCAUUUCAAUAAAUGCAUAAACAAAGAUAUAAAAGUCUGCUUGCCUGCCUGCCUAUCCUCAUACUCAUUGCCAUCUUUCUUAAAAGCAUAAUUGUUCUCCCAUAAACUCCUUCAUUAUAUUUCCUUGACAAGUCUCUUAACUCAAGGAUUCUUAAACAAGUAUCAAGUCCAAAUCUCCUUACAAUCCUAAUAAGGUAUGUGAUACUCCCACUCUGGUUCCUCAUAUGAUGUUUUCUGUAUUUUCAGGGUCUUUAAAGAUACAUAUGGAUCGGGUUGGUCAUGUGAUCAAUACAGUGCUGACACGCAGAGAGAGAACAUCUCUCGCCUGCGUGUCGAAGUUAACUUCAUACUAACCACUCUCAUAUCUUCUUGUUAUAUUAUAUUCGUUCCGUUUCACAAAAAGAAUCUCAAUUAACUUUAAUCCUAUUUAAUUUGUAAUAUUCUAAAGCUCAAAACGAUCAAAUGAGACUCUUUUUGAAUUUCGCAAAUUUACUACAAAAAGAUCAAAUGAGACUCUUUUAUGUAGAAUGGAGAGGGAAUAUUCUUUAGUUACUCGGCAUAAAGAAUUUUAGCCUUAUGUCCUCUCCCACAAUAUCACUUUUGCACAUUUCUUAUGCUUAGUCUUGGCUCAAGCUUCUUGGGAAAAUCACAACUAUUUUCUUGCUCUAUCAAAUGUUUCUUUAAUAACAAAGCUUGAAAUAUUCAUAAACUCUAGGGAUUAGAGAAGAGCUGUAAGAUCUAGGAAACAAUAUGGCAACUGAGGCACCAAGCUGGGCAGAUCAAUGGGGCGCAGGAGGUAUUGGCGCCACCAAAGAAGGCGACAACAAAGACAGUGGCGGAAAAAAGAAAGUGGCAGCUUCUUCAGCAGGAUUGAGCAAAGCCAAAGCAGUAGCAGUUGGUGGAGCAGAAAAGUUGAAGAAGGGAACAUCGACGGGCAUCAAAUGGAUCAAGAACAAAUACCAGAAGAAAAGCUCAAAAGAAAGCUCUUACGACGAUUAAAUAUAACAAAUUCAUACAAAACUGUUGUUUGAAACGGCCAGAUUCAUCAAGACAAUUUGUUUUCACCGUAAACUUCUAUUAAUGCAAACCACAAUAGUUUAAAUUCAGUCCUUUAAUUUAAGGUGGACUCAUUCCAAUACAGAUAUUAGACAACUCAUACCCACAAUUGUCUUAAAUUUUAAAGGGUAGCUUUGGGAAUUAAAAAUCUAAAUCACUCAGAGAACUUUCAUGCAUUUAUACACAGCAUAAUAUACAUAUUUUCCAGCACCAGUUUUGACCAAAAACAUAAGAUGUGGUGAUAUAAACGGGGCAUAUCUAUCAAAAUUACCAAAAACAUCAAAAGGAAUUGAAGAGCUAUUAAUAUUCAAAUCCAUUCACGAAAUGAAAUCUGUUGAGCACUACAUUUAAAGUUCUCCCAAAACAAUAUCAAGUUAAAAUCAAUGGUAAAUUAGAGGGAAAAGAAGGUCAAGCCUAUACAACUUCAAAUGGGGGUACCUAAGGAUUUACACAAGUUUUUAUUAUGAAUAUUGAUGUUAC
Molecule: long non-coding RNA, 1610 nt
Filed under: Panax ginseng (ginseng)
Lineage: Eukaryota; Viridiplantae; Streptophyta; Magnoliopsida; Apiales; Araliaceae
Description: long non-coding RNA (PGIN_LNC017580)
Source: RNAcentral